This 2857-nucleotide ribosomal RNA is filed under the name Moraxella bovis. RNAcentral's name for it is "23S ribosomal RNA". It matches the Rfam family "Bacterial large subunit ribosomal RNA". Lineage: Bacteria; Pseudomonadati; Pseudomonadota; Gammaproteobacteria; Moraxellales; Moraxellaceae. The record is from RNAcentral.
GGUCAAGUAAUGAAGUGCACAUGGUGGAUGCCUUGGCAGUCAGAGGCGAUGAAAGACGUGAUAGCCUGCGAUAAGCGUCGGUGAGGUGGCAAUAUCCUGUGACCCGGCGAUUUCUGAAUGGGGAAACCCAGCCAACAUAAGUUGGUUAUCUUAUAUUAGUAUAAGAGGCAAACCGGGAGAAGUGAAACAUCUCAGUACCCCGAGGAAAAGACAUCAAUAGAGAUUCCCCAAGUAGCGGCGAGCGAACUGGGAGAAGCCGAUCAAACUUGUAGUAGCAAAAUGGCGUGGGAAAGCCAACCAUAGUAGGUGAUAGUCCUGUAUGCGAAACUGCAAAUGCGACAUAUUAAGUAGGGCGAGACACGUGAAAUCUUGUCUGAAGAUGGGGGGACCAUCCUCCAAGGCUAAAUACUCCUGACUGACCGAUAGUGAACCAGUACCGUGAGGGAAAGGCGAAAAGAACCCCUGUUAGGGGAGUGAAAUAGAACCUGAAACCGUGUGCAUACAAGCAGUCGGAGCCCACUUGUUGGGUGACGGCGUACCUUUUGUAUAAUGGGUCAGCGACUUAUAUUCUGUAGCAAGGUUAACCGUUUAGGGGAGCCGUAGGGAAACCGAGUCUUAAUAGGGCGAUUAAGUUGCAGGGUAUAGACCCGAAACCGAGUGAUCUAUCCAUGAGCAGGUUGAAAGUGCCGUAACAGGCACCGGAGGACCGAACCCACUGUCGUUGAAAAGCCAGGGGAUGACUUGUGGAUAGGGGUGAAAGGCUAAUCAAACUCGGUGAUAGCUGGUUCUCCCCGAAAGCUAUUUAGGUAGCGCCUCGGACGAAUACCAUUGGGGGUAGAGCACUGUUUCGGCUAGGGGGUCAUCCCGACUUACCAAACCGAUGCAAACUCCGAAUACCGAUGAGUACUAUCCGGGAGACAGACGGCGGGUGCUAACGUUCGUCGUCAAGAGGGAAACAACCCAGACCGCCAGCUAAGGCCCCAAAUUCCUAGUUAAGUGGGAAACGAUGUGGGAAGGCACAGACAGCUAGGAGGUUGGCUUAGAAGCAGCCACCCUUUAAAGAAAGCGUAAUAGCUCACUAGUCGAGUCGGCCUGCGCGGAAGAUGUAACGGGGCUCAAACUAGGAGCCGAAGCUGCGGAUUUAAUUGUUUCAAUUAAGUGGUAGGGGAGCGUUGUGUAAGCCUGUGAAGGUGUGUUGUAAAGCAUGCUGGAGGUAUCACAAGAGCGAAUGCUGACGUGAGUAACGACAAAACGGGUGAAAAGCCCGUUCGCCGGAAGACCAAGGGUUCCAGUCCAACGUUAAUCGGGGCUGGGUGAGUCGACCCCUAAGGCGAGGCCGAAAGGCGUAGUCGAUGGGAAAUUGGUUAAUAUUCCAAUACUUGUUUAUGAUGCGAUGGAGGGACGGAGAAGGUUAUGUCAGCCUGGUGUUGGUUGUCCAGGUGAAAGGAUGUAGGUAGGUUUAGUAGGCAAAUCCGCUAGACUAUUACUGAGAUCUGAUAGCAAGCCAGUUUACUGGCAAAGUGGCAAAUACCAUGCUUCCAGGAAAAGCUUCUAAGCGAUAGUCAUAAACAAAUCGUACCCGAAACCGACACAGGUGGUCAGGUAGAGAAUACCAAGGCGCUUGAGAGAACUCUGCUGAAGGAACUAGGCAAAAUGGUACCGUAACUUCGGGAGAAGGUACGCUGCCGAUGGUGAUAAGACUUGCUCUUUGAGCUGUUGGCAGUCGCAGAUACCAGGCUGCUGCAACUGUUUAUUAAAAACACAGCACUCUGCAAACACGAAAGUGGACGUAUAGGGUGUGAUGCCUGCCCGGUGCUGGAAGGUUAAUUGAUGGGGUUAGCGUAUGCGAAGCUCUUGAUCGAAGCCCCAGUAAACGGCGGCCGUAACUAUAACGGUCCUAAGGUAGCGAAAUUCCUUGUCGGGUAAGUUCCGACCUGCACGAAUGGCAUAAUGAUGGCAGCGCUGUCUCCAGCAGAGACUCAGUGAAAUCGAAAUCGCAGUGAAGAUGCUGUGUACCCGCGGCUAGACGGAAAGACCCCGUGAACCUUUACUACAGCUUUACAUUGAACUUUGACCUAACUUGUGUAGGAUAGGUGGGAGGCUUUGAAGUAGGGACGCCAGUUCCUAUGGAGCCAUCCUUGAAAUACCACCCUGGUUAUGUUGGGGUUCUAACUUAGAUGUAACAACAUCAAGGACAAUGUAUGGUGGGUAGUUUGACUGGGGCGGUCUCCUCCUAAAGAGUAACGGAGGAGUACGAAGGUGCGCUCAGAACGGUCGGAAAUCGUUCAAAGAGUAUAAAGGCAAAAGCGCGCUUAACUGCGAGACCCACAAGUCGAGCAGGUACGAAAGUAGGUCUUAGUGAUCCGGUGGUUCUGUAUGGAAGGGCCAUCGCUCAACGGAUAAAAGGUACUCUGGGGAUAACAGGCUGAUACCGCCCAAGAGUUCAUAUCGACGGCGGUGUUUGGCACCUCGAUGUCGGCUCAUCUCAUCCUGGGGCUGAAGCAGGUCCCAAGGGUAUGGCUGUUCGCCAUUUAAAGAGGUACGCGAGCUGGGUUUAGAACGUCGUGAGACAGUUCGGUCCCUAUCUACCGUGGGCGUUGGAAAUUUGAGAGGAUCUGCUCCUAGUACGAGAGGACCAGAGUGGACGAACCUCUGGUGUUCCGGUUGUUUCGCCAGAAGCACUGCCGGGUAGCUAUGUUCGGAUGGGAUAACCGCUGAAAGCAUCUAAGCGGGAAGCCCACCUCAAGAUUAGAUUUCCCUAAAGAGCCGUUGUAGACUACGACGUUGAUAGGUUGGGUGUGGAAGCAUGGCGACAUGUGUAGCUAACCAAUACUAAUUGCUCGUUUGGCUUGACCAU